CAGUAGCCACGGGAAUACGGAGGGUGCAAGCGUUAAUCGGAAUUACUGGGCGUAAAGCGCACGCAGGCGGUCUGACAAGUCAGAUGUGAAAUCCCCGGGCUUAACCUGGGAACUGCAUUUGAAACUGUCAGGCUGGAGUCUUGUAGAGGGGGGUGGAAUUCCAGGUGUAGCGGUGAAAUGCGUAGAGAUCUGGAGGAAUACCGGUGGCGAAGGCGGCCCCCUGGACAAAGACUGACGCUCAGGUGCGAAAGCGUGGGGAGCAAACAGGAUUAGAUACCGAGUAGUCCCUGUCUCUUAUACA
RNAcentral lists this ribosomal RNA (301 nucleotides) under uncultured bacterium. Its description in RNAcentral is "partial 16S ribosomal RNA". It matches the Rfam family "Bacterial small subunit ribosomal RNA", at positions 509 to 808 of the family's 1533-position model. The record is from RNAcentral.